GUUGUCCGGAUUCAUUGGGCGUAAAGAGCUCGUAGGCGGUUCGAUAAGUCGGGUGUGAAACCUCCAGGCUCAACCUGGAGACGCCACCCGAUACUGUUGUGACUAGAGUCCAGUAGAGGAGCGUGGAAUUCCUGGUGUAGCGGUGAAAUGCGCAGAUAUCAGGAGGAACACCAGCAGCGAAGGCGGCGCUCUGGGCUGGCACUGACGCUGAGGAGCGAAAGCGUGGGGAGCGAACAGGAUUAGAUACCCUGGUAGUCCACGCCGYAAACGUUGGGCACUAGGUGUGGGGUCUUAUCAACGGAUUCCGUGCCGAAGCUAACGCAUUAAGCACCCCGCCUGGGGAGUACGGCCGCAAGGCUAAAACUCAAAGGAAUUGACGGGGGCCCGCACAAGCAGCGGAGCAUGUUGCUU
This 411-nucleotide ribosomal RNA is filed under the name uncultured bacterium 1204-20l. Its description in RNAcentral is "bacterial SSU rRNA". It matches the Rfam family "Bacterial small subunit ribosomal RNA", at positions 540 to 947 of the family's 1533-position model. The record is from RNAcentral. Lineage: Bacteria; Bacillati; Actinomycetota; Actinomycetes.